GACGAACGCUGGCGGCGUGCUUAACACAUGCAAGUCGAACGGAAAGGCCCUGCUUUUGUGGGGUGCUCGAGUGGCGAACGGGUGAGUAACACGUGAGUAACCUGCCCUUGACUUUGGGAUAACUUCAGGAAACUGGGGCUAAUACCGGAUAGGAGCUCCUGCUGCAUGGUGGGGGUUGGAAAGUUUCGGCGGUUGGGGAUGGACUCGCGGCUUAUCAGCUUGUUGGUGGGGUAGUGGCUUACCAAGGCUUUGACGGGUAGCCGGCCUGAGAGGGUGGCCGGCCACAUUGGGACUGAGGUACGGCCCAGACUCCUACGGGAGGCAGCAGUGGGGAAUAUUGCGCAAUGGGCGGAAGCCUGAGGCAGCAACGCCGCGUGCGGGAUGACGGCCUUCGGGUUGUAAACCGCUUUCGCCUGUGACGAAGCGUGAGUGACGGUAAUGGGUAAAGAAGCACCGGCUAACUACGUG
RNAcentral lists this ribosomal RNA (468 nucleotides) under uncultured bacterium. RNAcentral describes it as "partial 16S ribosomal RNA". It matches the Rfam family "Bacterial small subunit ribosomal RNA", at positions 28 to 507 of the family's 1533-position model. The record is from RNAcentral.